This 2643-nucleotide ribosomal RNA is filed under the name Triticum aestivum (bread wheat). Its description in RNAcentral is "partial small subunit ribosomal RNA". The record is from RNAcentral. Lineage: Eukaryota; Viridiplantae; Streptophyta; Magnoliopsida; Poales; Poaceae.
AUGGCGGAGUUAGCGACCAGUGUUGCAGCUGGGGUGAUAUGCUCCCUACUUGAGAAGCUUGGUUCUCUCGCAGCGGCAGAGUAUGCAAUGUUCAGCAGCGACCGCAGAGAGGUAGAACUACUGGUGGAUGAGCUCAGUUCUAUGAAUGCUGUUCUUGAGAAGUUGGCAUACAUAGAGAACAUUGAUCCAUUAACCAAGCAAUGGAGGGACCAGGUCAGGGAGCUGACCUACGAUACUGAGGAUUCUAUCGUCAGCUCCAUGCUCCAGGAUCGCCAAGAUGGAGCUACGGAUUGGUUCAUUUGGAAGAUUUUUCCGUUUUUCAAAGAUCUCAGAGAGGGCUAUAGUUUAUCCAAACAGAUCAAUCAAAUCAAGGCCUCUGUAAUAGAGCUAAGCGCUCGACGAGAGCGGCUCAGAGUUGAUGAAGUCAUCUCUACAUCUUCUCAUGUGUCCAUUGAUCCUCGACUGCAUGUGCUCUAUAAGGAUGCUGCCGGUCUUGUUGGAAUUGAUGGACAGAAGGAUAAGCUCAUGGAAAUGCUAAUGGGUGAUGAUCAGCACUUAAAGGUAGUGUCAGUUGUGGGAUUUGGAGGUUUAGGCAAGACUACACUUGCCAACUCAGUAUACCAUGCUUUACCUACACUACAACACCAUGAACACAGAUUUGACUGCCAAGCAUUUGUAUCGGUCUCCCAGAGACCUGAUAUCAAUGGGGUUCUUUGUAGUUUGCUCAGAAUGCUUCGAGUGGAUACAACAUCGUCGGAUAAUAGUAAUGUUCAACUCCUUAUCAUCAUGAUCAACCAACAUCUGCAACAUAAAAGGUACCUUAUUGUAAUUGAUGAUUUGUGGAAUGAAUCGGACUGGUAUACUAUCAGAUGUGCUUUCCCAGAGAACAACUCCGGAAGUUUUUUGGCCAGUAAGAAGACACCAGAACGAAAGGAGCACUGGGACAGGGUGCAGGGUUCUUUGGGCACCAUCGAUAGAGAGUUCGAACCAAUGAAACAGAUGUCACAAAUCUUAAACCUGAGCUACAUGCAUCUUCCUCAUCAUUUGAGGGCAUGCUUCCUUCAUCUUGGUAUAUAUCCAGAGGAUCGGGAAAUCAUGACGGAUGAUUUGGUGAAGCAAUGGCUUGCUGAAGAUUUUGUGCCUUGCAGCCCACAUAGGCAAGAUCGAGAGGACGUUGCAAGGGACUAUUUCAACGAGUUAGUCAACAGGAGCAUCCUCCAACCUGUAGAUAUAGACUACAAGGAUGAGGUGAUGUCAUGUCGAUUACAUGACAUGAUGCUCGAGUUCAUCUUGGACAAAUCAGCGGAUGAGAAUUUCAUAACUGUAAUGGAUAAAUUUGGAGUCCGGAGUGGAGGCACCAGUAAGAUCCGUCGGCUCUCUUUGCAAUCUGACUACGAGAAUCAUGCCUUGGUACCAGGAGCAAUUAUUCUGACACAAGUUCGGUCGCUUGCAACCUUUGGUGCUUGUGUUGACGGAGCGUUCUCGAGGCUAAAGUUUAUUCGAGUCCUAGUGGUUGACCAAGGUAGUAUGACUGAGGACGACAUGGCUGGAGUUUGCCUGCUGCUCCAUUUGAGAUACCUGAAGAUUAUUUCUUAUACAAUCCAUGGGUAUGAUCUAGUAGUACCUCCUGAAAUUCUGAAUCUAUGGUCUCUGGAAACGCUGGAUCUAAGAGAUUUCGAUGGCAUACCUACCCUUCCAGAAGAAAUAGCUCAUUUGUCCAGCUUGCGGCAUCUGCUUCUCCCAUCAAAUGUAGUCUUGCCUGAUGACAUAGGCCGUAUGAAGUCACUGCAUACAAUACGCAGUUUUGAUAUGUGCAAGAAUUCCGUAGCCUGUAUAAACGGCCUCGGGGAGCUGACCAAUCUCAGAGAUCUUCAACUCCGUUUUGAUGACACUUUGUACGACUCUGACAAGGGCAACAAUGUAGCUCUAUGCUCUGCUCUCCAAAAGCUUGCUGGUGGAAACCUUAAACAUCUAGCAAUCGUUUCGGAAGAUCCAUGCGGCAACCAAUCUCUACCAAGGCGUCAUCACCUGGAUUGUCUGCAUUCCUUACCAGGAAAUCUAGAGACACUACAUCUACAAGAUCGCAUGCCUACUAUUCCAAACUGGAUUGGUCAACUCGGUAAUCUGUAUGACAUAAAUCUUGAAGGAAUCGAGAGGUUGAACCCGCAAGGUAUUGAUAUCCUUGCAAAGUUGCCCGCCCUUCUCUACCUGAAGAUGUAUAUCUCGAUAUGCAUCGCUGAAACAAUUGCCAUCCGUGGUGGGAGUGGGAGUGGGGCCGCUUUCCCAUCACUCAAGUAUUUCCACCUCAUUUGCUCACCGCCAUGGGUGGCCUUUGAGCAAGGGGCAAUGCCCAAGCUCCAGAGACUCGAUAUAGAAUUUGAGGCGGACAGAUGGGAGGAACGUGGAAGAGCGCCUGCAGGCAUCCACAACCUGGGUGCCUUGCAGGUACUCUUGGUACAACUGAUGAACGGCGGUGAGGAGUCUGACAAGGAAGCUGCUAAAUCUGCGCUGCGUGCUGCAAUCGACGGCCAUCCACGUGGCCCUCGCAUUGACGUCAGCCAAGGAUCUUACUAUCAUAUUUAUACGGAGGAGGAAUAUAAUACAGUUUUCAAAAUGGACGAUGAUAUGGACAUCUCCGACUGA